This 429-nucleotide ribosomal RNA is filed under the name Gemmatimonadota bacterium. Its description in RNAcentral is "Gemmatimonadetes bacterium partial 16S ribosomal RNA". It matches the Rfam family "Bacterial small subunit ribosomal RNA", at positions 355 to 776 of the family's 1533-position model. The record is from RNAcentral. Lineage: Bacteria; Pseudomonadati; Gemmatimonadota.
UAGGGAAUCUUCGGCAAUGGACGAAAGUCUGACCGAGCAACGCCGCGUGAGUAAAGAAGGUUUUCGGAUCGUAAAACUCUGUUGUUAGAGAAGAACAAGGACGUUAGUAACUGAAUGUCCCCUGACGGUAUCUAACCAGAAAGCCACGGCUAACUACGUGCCAGCAGCCGCGGUAAUACGUAGGUGGCAAGCGUUGUCCGGAUUUAUUGGGCGUAAAGCGAGCGCAGGCGGUUUCUUAAGUCUGAUGUGAAAGCCCCCGGCUCAACCGGGGAGGGUCAUUGGAAACUGGGAGACUUGAGUGCAGAAGAGGAGAGUGGAAUUCCAUGUGUAGCGGUGAAAUGCGUAGAUAUAUGGAGGAACACCAGUGGCGAAGGCGGCUCUCUGGUCUGUAACUGACGCUGAGGCUCGAAAGCGUGGGGAGCAAACAGG